UCCUUCCUGGGAUCACGUCUGCAGAGUGGCUUGUAUUCUGGCAGCUUCGGAAACAGGAGGGCAAGCAGGCCUGGCAAAGGCACCCAUUCCAUUCCCAGCUUGCUCAGCAGCUGGCCACUGGGAGAGACUCUGCAACAGUG
RNAcentral lists this small nucleolar RNA (140 nucleotides) under Microcebus murinus (gray mouse lemur). The record is from RNAcentral. Lineage: Eukaryota; Metazoa; Chordata; Mammalia; Primates; Cheirogaleidae.